GUGCCAGCAGCCGCGGUAAUACAUAGGGGUCAAGCGUUGUCUGGAUUUAUUGGGCGUAAAGAGCUCGUAGGCGGUUCAACAAGUCGGUCGUAAAAGUUUAGGGCUCAACCCUAAAAUGUCGAUCGAUACUGUUGUGACUAGGAUACGGUAGAGGUGAAUGGAAUUCCGAGUGUAGCGGUGAAAUGCGUAGAUAUUCGGAGGAACACCAGAGGCGAAGGCGGCUUACUGGACAUAUACUGACGCUGAGGCACGAAAGUGUGGGUAGCAAACAGGAUUAGAUA
Molecule: ribosomal RNA, 281 nt
Filed under: uncultured bacterium
Lineage: Bacteria
Description: partial 16S ribosomal RNA
Rfam family: Bacterial small subunit ribosomal RNA
Source: RNAcentral